AUUGAACGCUGGCGGCAUGCCUUACACAUGCAAGUCGAACGGCAGCACGGGUGCUUGCCCCUGGUGGCGAGUGGCGAACGGGUGAGUAAUACAUCGGAACAUGUCCUGUAGUGGGGGAUAGCCCGGCGAAAGCCGGAUUAAUACCGCAUACGAUCUACGGAUGAAAGCGGGGGACCUUCGGGCCUCGCGCUUUGGGGUUGGCCGAUGGCUGAUUAGCUAGUUGGUGGGGUAAAGGCCUACCAAGGCGACGAUCAGUAGCUGGUCUGAGAGGGCGACCAGCCACACUGGGACUGAGACACGGCCCAGACUCCUACGGGAGGCAGCAGUGGGGAAUUUUGGACAAUGGGCGAAAGCCUGAUCCAGCAAUGCCGCGUGUGUGAAGAAGGCCUUCGGGUUGUAAAGCACUUUUGUCCGGAAAGAAAUCCUUGGCCCUAAUACGGUCGGGGGAUGACGGUACCGGAAGAAUAAGCACCGGCUAACUACGUG
RNAcentral lists this ribosomal RNA (486 nucleotides) under uncultured bacterium. Its description in RNAcentral is "partial 16S ribosomal RNA". It matches the Rfam family "Bacterial small subunit ribosomal RNA", at positions 30 to 507 of the family's 1533-position model. The record is from RNAcentral.